Molecule: RNA transcript, 2388 nt
Organism: Micropterus dolomieu (smallmouth bass)
Lineage: Eukaryota; Metazoa; Chordata; Actinopteri; Centrarchiformes; Centrarchidae
Gene: wfdc1
Gene name: WAP four-disulfide core domain 1
Exons: 7
Source: RefSeq, a predicted model, not a curated record
UUUCUCCCUUCCCCUCCUCUUGUUUCCUUAACUAUUCUCCUUUUUUUGUUUCUUCCCUACACUGCCUCCAUUCAUCCCUUGUGUGCUUUCCCAUUCCUUACUUUUACUCUGGCAUUCUGUAUUUUUUCCUCGGGCGGAUAUUAAGGCAGGUCCUGUUGGAGGGAAAGAAUCUCAGGCUGCACAUGAGCACCGGAGAGUUAUUGCUUCAGCUGGAAAGGCAACUUAACAGAAGACUCACAAACACAUAAAGGACAAACGUUGGAAGAAGGAGAGGAAGAAGGAAUACCUCUGAGGCAGGAAGGGAGGAGAGGGAGGGAGACGCAGAAAGAGUUUGGAGUUGCGGUGCAGGACACAGACCAUGCCGGGCUCUGUGGUGCUGCUGCUGUCCCUGUUGGCCCUGUCCACAGGAAGUGAUGCCAGACGAAUCAGGAAAAGAGGACUCAACCAUAAGGACUACGAGUACCCCAACCACCCCCAGUCCACACAGCACCAAAAGAAUGACCGGUGUCCGCCGCCACCACAGAUGCUGCCAGAAAGGGCCUGUGAGGUGCCGGGCUGCCGCUCAGACUCUGAGUGCGAGCGCCAUAAACGCUGCUGCUACAAUGGCUGCAUCUACGCCUGCCUGGAGUCUGUUCAGCCGCCACCAGUGCUGGACUGGCUGGUGCAGCCCAAGCCUCGGUGGUUGGGGGGUAACGGCUGGCUGUUAGACGGCCCUGAGGAGGUGCUGCAGGCUGAGGCCUGCAGCACAACUGAAGAUGGAGAUGAGCCUCUUCACUGUCCUACAGGCUACGAGUGCCACAUCAUCAACCCAGGAAACCCUGCGGCUGGCAUCCCUAACCGGGGACAGUGCAUCAAGCAACGCGGUAACUCCGGUAUGGCUAGAGGACUUCUGAUGGACGUGGUCUGAGGCACAAAUACUUUAAGGACUACAAGGACUACUUAGGUACCAGUUCUAACAAUGCAGUAGGCUAUGAAAAGCAUCACCACAAGCACCUGGGAUGAAAUCAACCUGACCUCAGCCUCAGCUACGACCAUAACACAACCUCAGACAUCAGCUCCAGUCCUGUUCAAUCUGCUCUCAUCACACCUGAACCAGGAUCAGAUGUGACCUUUUUACCAGACCUACAGCUGCUACCUCCUCUUUGCAAAGGCCCUUGCGUCCUUGUCCUCAGUCACGACGUCCUUUGGGAGACAAGUCUGACGUACAGAACACAGCCAAAGAAAUAAGUGCUUUUUUUGUCUCUCUGGUAUCUAUGAAAGGAAGAAGCAGAGGGUGUUGAUGGUGAAUCAGAGGAGAGGACCAAUGCUGUGUAAAAAGUCUCAAAAGGAAAAAAGGAACCCAUGCCAUUUUUUUUGUAAUUUCCUUCUCCCUCCCUACAACUUGUGUCCUCGCACACAAAGACACUCUCGAACCUUAAGGCUUGGUCAGCAGAGAAAAUUAAGACUAUAUGGCCCUAUUACUUCUUCUGCCUCCCUUGUUCUUAGGAGGACGGUGCUCACAUUUCUUGAUCUGAAACCUGGAACAUUUUGUAGACAAAUAAUAAAAAUUCCAGCUGCAGGUGUUGCAUGUUGAAAUCAAAUCCAAAUGUGGUUUAAUAUUCUGGCAAAUAACUAUAAUUAAAAGAAAGAAUGCCAUGUGAGUGUGUGGAUUGUGCCCAUUUUAAAGGAGUUGGAACAGCUGUAGAUUAGUUGCAGCAAACGGAUGCUAACGAAGACUAUGAAAAGACUAUUUUCUAUGAAAAGUAAAAUGAGAACCAAUCGUUUACUUCUGAGGUUCAUUUGGAAGAGAUGUAGAUUCAAAGGGAUACCAAUUGCGAAGUAGGAAGCCAUUAAGAUCUUCAAACAAGCCUACAGACAGCAAGUGUUGAAAAGAUUGAUUUGGGGUGGAUUAUUCCUUUAAACCUAAUCUGUGUAAAUAUUAUAUCUGUAACUAAUGCAGUGACACAGACCAUACAACAAAUAUCUUCCAUUGCAGUAUGAUUAUUCAAACAUUUCAUAAUUUUGAAAAAUCAUACUGCAUUACUUUCUGUUAACACUAUCACAAUCCCUAUUGCAGUACAGGUGAAAAAAAACUAAAAGGGCUUUUGCACAGAGCAGAUAUUUAAAACUGGUGAAAGGAUCUUCUGUGUUAUUCUCAAACUUACCGACUUGGUUCAGUCGACUGUUCAACCUAAGUUAUCUCUGUUAUCAAUUCAAAUGGUGCUCAGUUUCAUUGCUGCCUAAAAUAACAGAAGAAUAAGCUGGUCACACAAUAAGCUGAAGGUGUUAAACAAAAGCUGUAACCAUUCUCUCUAUAUGCAGAACUAAAGUGAUGUCUGAAUGUUGCUACCUGACUGGUGUUGUAAUGUUGCCUUGUUUCUUCUAAAUAAACCACAUUGUUGGACUUCA